Molecule: long non-coding RNA, 663 nt
Filed under: Rattus norvegicus (Norway rat)
Lineage: Eukaryota; Metazoa; Chordata; Mammalia; Rodentia; Muridae
Description: long non-coding RNA NONRATT019664
Source: RNAcentral
UUUUUAAAGAUUUAUUCAUUUAUUAUAUACAAGUACACUGUAGCUGUCUUCAGACACACCAGAAGAGGGCAUCGGAUCUCUUUACAGAUGGUUGUAAGCCACCAUGUGGUUGCUGGGAAUUGAACUCAGGACCUCUGGAAGAGCAGUCAGUGCUCUUAACCGCUGAGCCAUCUCUCCAGCCCUCUUUCUUCCUUUCAUUUGAUCUCCCCUUUUACUCUUUGUCGAUAGCAACUGAGCCCGGGCCCUCACCCAAACCUGCUUUACAGCUGAGAUAUUCUUGUGAGGGUCUGCUCAGUUUCUGAACACUCACCACAACACUAUACAGACCUCCUGUCUUUAAAUAUGUAAAUACUGUUGAUUAGUGGCCAGAUGCGGCUCCCACCCCCUACUUGAGAGUCACGCUUUCAUUUCUGAUUUACUUUUACAUGUUUUAACUAAUUAAAUGUGUCUUUCCAUAAUUUCAUACAUGAAGUGCAUGCUGGUUCCUCUCACACCCCACUGUCUCUCACCUCCCUCCCGUGCCUGUCAAGCGUCUUUCCCUCAUCGAUUCUCUUUCGUUUUGAGUUCAACCAUGGCCUUUGUGACUGUGGGUUUGGAACUACCCAUUGUAAACUUUAAAUCUACAUCUCAUGACACUGAGUCACCUCAAAAAAAAAAAAAAAA